UCACGUCAAAAUCUGCUAUUUGUUUUCAUGGUGAUUUGCUUGUGAAACGUAAGUAAAGAAAUUCAAGCUUCGCUUUUAAAUUGCUUAGUACUUCCGAUUAAUUUAUUAAAUUGUGGGCCUGGGCAAAUUGCUUUGAAGAUGCCACAAUGCGGUGAUGAAUAUGUAGCGCCGGCUAGGAGAAUUCGAUACAAUUACAAUGGGCGUUAGAAACGCUCGCCACAACUAAGCAACGAUUGUUUUCUAUACUUAUAGCGAUUAGCAGAGAAAAAAGUUUUAGCGAAUUUACUGCCUGAAGAAAAUUUAGCUGAAAAACUACGCUAGAAAUAGUCACAAAAUAAAAAGUCGCCACAUUUCCCACAGUUUAUUGAAGAUUUAGUAUGUAGCUUAUUUGUGAAUUGUAAAGUCCUAUAGAUAUGAAGAACAACAUCUACGUUUGUGGUAUUUUAAUUUUUAAUAUCAUACAUAUUGCAGAAUCUGCCACGGGCAUUCAAAUGGUGAAAAUGAAUGUAGAGAAUGAAGUUUAGACACGAAAAAGUUCAAAAUAGAGAAACACAACGCAAAAAACCUUCGAAACAAGGGCAAAAUUAAAGUCUCACGGUGUACAGAAAGAUAUUGAUGGUAAUCAGAAAUCCACCUUGGCUACUAAUGACUAUGAUUUCAUGUAAGUACUGUUAAGAUGCGCAUACCAUAUUUCAUAAAAAAUGUUUGCUUCAUGUUUUUUGUGGAAAAUCGAUGGCUAUGAUUUACAUCUAAAACUGUACACUUAAAAAUUAUGAAUUACAAAUUUCUAACAUG
Anastrepha obliqua is the source of this 795-nucleotide long non-coding RNA. RefSeq lists it as uncharacterized. The transcript has 3 exons. Lineage: Eukaryota; Metazoa; Arthropoda; Insecta; Diptera; Tephritidae. The record is from RefSeq and is a predicted model, not a curated record.